AUACUUCCCUGACAGGGGAGAUACCAUAAUCACAAAGGUUCUUUUUCUAGGGCGAGGCUUAUCCAUUGCAUUCCAGUGUGCUGACCCCUGCGAUUUCCCCGUAUGCAGGAAACUCGACUGUGUAAUUUGUGGUACUGGGGGACUACAUUUGUGCUGAA
Molecule: small nuclear RNA, 158 nt
Organism: Vicugna pacos (alpaca)
Lineage: Eukaryota; Metazoa; Chordata; Mammalia; Artiodactyla; Camelidae
Gene: U1
Rfam family: U1 spliceosomal RNA
About the family: U1 is a small nuclear RNA (snRNA) component of the spliceosome (involved in pre-mRNA splicing). Its 5' end forms complementary base pairs with the 5' splice junction, thus defining the 5' donor site of an intron.
Source: Ensembl